This is a non-coding RNA of Pelobates cultripes (western spadefoot toad), 238 nucleotides long. The record is from the annotation of a GenBank genome assembly. Lineage: Eukaryota; Metazoa; Chordata; Amphibia; Anura; Pelobatidae.
GUAGAAUUAGUUGUCUGAAAGGAAACCGGAAUUUGGGGUUUCUGCCAUCUUUUGUGGGUUUCCAUGGGUGGGGUGGUGUCUCUGUAUCAGCCUCAGCUAAACAACCCGUGGAUGAGGUCUUUUUUGUGGGGUCUCUGUGUAAGUGGAGGCAUACCACUUACCACUUUUGUCCAGCUUGAAAAUUUACCAUUAAUGACAACUCGUUGUACUCUAUCCUUAAGCCAGUGUUCUCCCCAAC